UACGGAGGGUGCAAGCGUUGUCCGGAUUUAUUGGGUUUAAAGGGUGCGUAGUCGGCCCGUUAAGUCAGCGGUGAAAUCCCAGGGCUCAACCCUGGAACUGCCGUUGAUACUGGCGGGCUUGAGUUCGGUCGAGGCGGGCGGAACUGGUGGUGUAGCGGUGAAAUGCAUAGAUACCACCAAGAACCCCGAUUGCGUAGGCAGCUCGCUAGGCCGAAACUGACGCUGAGGCACGAAAGCGUGGGGAGCGAACAGG
Molecule: ribosomal RNA, 253 nt
Filed under: uncultured bacterium
Lineage: Bacteria
Description: partial 16S ribosomal RNA
Rfam family: Bacterial small subunit ribosomal RNA
Source: RNAcentral